UCAGAUAAAUCAAUCAUAAAGCUCAUAAU
RNAcentral lists this small RNA (29 nucleotides) under Bombyx mori (domestic silkworm). RNAcentral describes it as "ovarian small RNA-6964". Lineage: Eukaryota; Metazoa; Arthropoda; Insecta; Lepidoptera; Bombycidae. The record is from RNAcentral.